GUGGCAAGGGUAAAAUGGAAAGGAAUCAAAAGUUAAUGGCAUAACAGUAGAUAUGUUGAAGUGAAUAGUGCUUGAUGUGACUUAAUUCAUGGGUUGGUGGCUCAGAUGUGGAAUGAAACAAAGAGGAGAGGGAGGAGUCUCAAGCGUGACAGAGAGAAGGAAAAGAAGAAGAAGAAAAUAAAGGAAGAAAAGAAGAGGAAGAAGAAGAAGAAAGAAGAAGGGAAGGGAGCCCCGGUUGCGCUGCCAACUGAAGGAAAAAGCGUAGAUCUCCUUCCCCUUUACGCAAAGACCUCAAUUUUUCGAAUAGAAAAAGGUAAAUACUCAUCCCCACCUAGUCUUUUGAUGAAAUUAGGCUAUACAAAGGGUGGAUGUAGUCUAGAGGGGUCGGAUAAGGGUUGUAGAGGUGGUUAAAAGAGGA
Molecule: long non-coding RNA, 418 nt
Filed under: Phoenix dactylifera (date palm)
Lineage: Eukaryota; Viridiplantae; Streptophyta; Magnoliopsida; Arecales; Arecaceae
Description: long non-coding RNA (PDAC_LNC012759)
Source: RNAcentral